CUGACUGAGCGGUGGUAGGCAGAAGUAGGCGCGUUCAUUCAAACAGCACUUUUGUGCGUUUUGCCAGCAGCUCUUCGUUGUGUGUCAAGCAUUGCGCUGUUUAUGACUUCAAGCCUAUCAACACUCGAGAUGAGGCUGGUGUAACCGAAGUGAAAUGGCUGGUUAGUUAGCGCGCGCUAAUAGCGUUUCAAACGUCACUCGCUCCGAGCCUUCUAGUAGUUGUUCCCCUUGCUCUGCAUGGGUAACGCUGCUUCGAGGGUGGCUGUUGUCGUUGUGUUGCUGGUUCGGGAGGAGCGAGGAGAGGGACGGAAACUAUACUCUUACACUGGCAAUUCUAAAGUGCCUAUAAGAACACCUAAUAGUCAAAGGUUAAUGAAAUACAAAUGGGAUAGAGGGAAAUAGUCCUAUAAUUCCUAUAACUACAACCUAAAACUUCUUACCUGGGAAUAUUGAAGACUCAUGUUAAAAGGAACCACCAGCUUUCAUAUGUUCUGAGCAAGGAACUGAAACGUUAGCUUUCUUACAUAGCACAUAUUGCACUUUUACUUUCUUCUACAACACUUUGUUUUUGCUUUAUUUAAACCAAAUUGAACAUGUUUCAUUAUUUACUUGAGGCUAAAUAGAUUUUAUUGAUGUAUUAUAUUAAGUUAAAAUAAGUGUUCAUUCAGUAUUGUUGUAAUUGUCAUUAUUACAAAUACAUUUAAAAAGAGGCCGAUUUUUAAAUCGGUAUCGUUUUUUUGGUUAUCCAAUAAUCGGCACCGGCUUUUAUGGUCCUCCAAUAUCGGUAUCGGCGUUGAAAAAUCAUAAUCGGUCGACCUCUACUUGAAAGUGAUUUGGUGUUUUAAUAGGGCCAGGGUGAUCUAACUUGCAAUUUGUAGUCUGACAUUUCAGAUUUAGAUAUAAGAAUUUUUCACGUAGUAGUCUGGAUGUAGUUAACACAUUUUUCAAAAUAACUUUAUUUAAGUAAGCUAUAACUGUAGCUUAUUUUCUUCCAGUGCAAAGUAAUUGGUAACUUGGUAAACUAUUUUCAGUGUUGUAUCCCCAACACUGAGAAGGGAGGAUCAUUAUUUAUUUUCACUCUUCUGAUUUUUUUGUGAUUUAAAAAAAAAAAAAAAUUUUUUUUUUUGUGAUCAAGCAAUAUACAGGCUUCAAAUCUUGCGUUGGUUUCUCUCACACUGUCUCGCUCUGCCUCCUGCUAAGAGGUUAAAAGUAAUAGAUUUUCUGAACUUCUUAAUCCUGGAUGUUCCUCCCACUACUCAUCACUUUUGUGUGACACCUCAAUACUUCAUCACUGCAUUUUCCUUCGAUAGAAAAUGCCCUUGAGCAAGUCGCUGCUCACCUCAGAACUAGACCUUGGUUAGACAGAUACAGCCUGUCUGUCUAACAUCUAGCUACUACUAAAAGAAGGAAUUACAUUUCCAAGAGCAUAUUAGAUGUUCGGCCAGGGGUUUUCAUUGGAUCGACGUGAAUCUUAUUUUAAUUAUUAUUUUAAGUAUUUAUUGAUUGUGCUACUGUAUUUCCUAGAAAAAUAAGUUACAAAAAUAAAACCUGAAAGCAUGCUUUAUCAUAGCCUCUAUUCUGCAAUUUGGGAGGAAAUAAUGAAUGUGAUGCAGGGGUGUCAUGAUGCUCGUGUAUUAUUUGACUCAUUCUUCACUUUCAGUACAUAAGGUUCAGUGUGAACAAUUAUCGCAGAAUAUUCCAGAAUUCACAAUUGAUACAUGAUCAUGACAUUUACUGUUUUCAUAUGGUGCUUAAAUACAUGUGUCUAGUGUUUUCUCUGAGGAAACCAGAAAAAUAAAACAAAAGAAAGGAACGAG
Oncorhynchus tshawytscha (Chinook salmon) is the source of this 1817-nucleotide long non-coding RNA. The record is from Ensembl. NCBI's taxonomy places the organism in Eukaryota, Metazoa, Chordata, Actinopteri, Salmoniformes, Salmonidae.